Molecule: ribosomal RNA, 278 nt
Filed under: uncultured bacterium
Lineage: Bacteria
Description: partial 16S ribosomal RNA
Rfam family: Bacterial small subunit ribosomal RNA
Source: RNAcentral
AACGAACGCUGGCGGCAUGCCUAACACAUGCAAGUCGAACGAGACCUUCGGGUCUAGUGGCGCACGGGUGCGUAACGCGUGGGGAUCUGCCCUUGGGUCCGGAAUAACUCGCCGAAAAGCGUGCUAAUACUGGAUGAUGUCGUAAGACCAAAGAUUUAUCGCCCAGGGAUGAGCCCGCGUAAGAUUAGGUAGUUGGUGAGGUAAAGGCUCACCAAGCCGACGAUCUUUAGCUGGUCUGAGAGGAUGAUCAGCCACACUGGGACUGAGACACGGCCCAG